UGUGGGAGCGAGCUUGCUCGCGAUGGCGAUCUACCAGUCAAUAUCUUUGCUGACUGAUACACCGCCAUCGCGAGCAAGCUCGCUCCCACA
RNAcentral lists this unclassified non-coding RNA (90 nucleotides) under Pseudomonas prosekii. Lineage: Bacteria; Pseudomonadati; Pseudomonadota; Gammaproteobacteria; Pseudomonadales; Pseudomonadaceae. The record is from RNAcentral.